Pezoporus occidentalis (night parrot) is the source of this 2218-nucleotide long non-coding RNA. RefSeq lists it as uncharacterized. NCBI's taxonomy places the organism in Eukaryota, Metazoa, Chordata, Aves, Psittaciformes, Psittacidae. The record is from RefSeq and is a predicted model, not a curated record. The transcript has 3 exons.
UGGGAGCUGGUCUGAGCAGCCAGCCCGCUCCUCCAGUGUAAUGCGAGAUGCCUGACUGGGGGAUUUCCUCGUAGCCCCCUGUCCCAUUUCAGUGCGGGAGGAGCGACCCGCAAUCUCUGUUUCCAUCGCUAGAGGGAGGAAAACUACACGGAAUUAUCACCCCCUUCACUCAUCUCCGGUCUACCCCUCCGUCCAACCGCUCCAGGCAGGGCAGCAGAUGCUCUUCUAGCACGUUUUGUAUGAGGAACAGAUGGAGUGAUUUCUCAUGUAGUGUUACAGUAAUGACCAAUGUGACACAGAAGGAAAAUUCUGUGACAAUAUGCCUUUCCCUACUGCAGGAAGAUGUGACAGCAGAUAACUUGGCAGUGUACUACACCAGCCCAUGCCAAACUUAUUUUCUUCUUCCUGGGAGAUUGAAGCAGUACUCCAGAGGUACUUUCAUUUGUGGGAUUUGAGGCAGCAGGCUCACCUGGCUUGCUACCUUCUUCCUCACCUACAAAACAUGGGCGAUGUGAUGACUGCAUUGCCCUAGCAGCAGAGACCACUGCUGAAAAGACCCCUUUGCCCUCAAACCACAGAGGCAGAGAAGGGAUGGCUGCUCCACCACCCCUCUCUGUACUUUCAAAUGACAGGAAACUUUUCUGUAGUGCCCUUCUCAGACCUCAGAAAUGGGUUGGCUGGGAAGAGCAAUUGUGGAUGGGCACAGAAAGGGCAGAAACUCAAACCUGCUCUUCACUUCGUUAUUAAAUCUAGGGGAUGACAGAAGCACGUUCCCCUCCUGACAAAGUCUGAGGGUCUCUAGUGACAUUUAUGUCACUGGAAAGGCAUAUAAUAUGUACACUGUGGUUUAAUUUUAUCUUAAUGAAACAAUAUACAUAUAAAACUAUCCAUUAAAUAUAAAACAGUGAAGUAAUUUGCAAAUUUUCCUACGGCAUAAUAAAUUAAGCAUGGAGAGCACUAAGGAAUGCAAUUUGCAGUCAUUUAUAAUGCAGUGUUUUAUGUUAAUAAUUCAAAAUCACAUGCUAUUUGGAGACACUUCUAAUUAAUGUAUUUAUGAAAUUGUGAACUGUGACUGUUUUGGUUCCAUUUAGCUAAACAUUUCAACAGAAUGCGCUUGCUGUUGUUUUGUGUUUGCUUAAUGGCACCAGCAAGCAUCAAAUGUACAACUGGGGAGAGUUGGGGGUGGUAUCUGUUGCAGCUUUUUUAAUGGGUAUGUGUUUUUGUCUGUGUACUGUAUACAUGCAUGCGAUUACACCCCUGAUCUUACCGAGACGAAGAAAGUUCUGCAAUAAUUUGAGGAGAAAAUAAGGAAAGGAAAGUUUUAUGGAUGAAUAAUUGAUUGCAAGAAAAGUUCAGUACCUUCUGAAAAAAUUGCUAAAAUAUUCAGUAGUACUUUUCACAUGGCAGAUCUGUAUACACUGACAUUUCUCCUGAGUGGUUAAUUAUGACUAAUACAGCUCGUAAAAUUGUAUUCGUAUUUUUAUUUUGAUAUUAUCCAGCUUUUUUAUAAGACCAAGUUUUUGUCAUACUGCUCCUUUAUCAGAAUGCUAUGAAGAAUGUCACGAUUCCCCAGAAAGUUAUUCUCCCAAGAGACUUGCAGAGAUUUUUGGGUAUUUUGAAAUUUUAAGAAUAAAACCUAUGCAUAUCAGAAUUUGUAGUGAAUUAAUACAUGUCAUGGCCCUAAUUCUCAAAGUGGCUUGAAAUGAAUGGGCUUCUAAGCAUAUGCAGAACCAGAUGCUAAUACUACUCUGUUGUAGCCCUGCACAGGAAAGCGAAGGGAAAGGUCUUGAAAUAAUUUUCUAUGACAAUCUGUUUCACACGGGAAAGCAAAUUAAAAAACGAAAGAAACCUGAAACUCCUCAAACCCAUAGUAAAGAGGUCCAAGACGCUAUAUGCGGCCCCUUCCGCCUUUCAAAACAGUUCUGAGAAUUUGACGGGAUGCUAAAUGAAGAUCGUAAUGUCUCCUGGUGAUUUCAAAGCUCAUUUGCAGUAACUCCAUGUCGAAAGUUUUAUUUCACUACUGUGCUGUCUGUGUGGUUUUUGUUCUUCUUCUUUCUUGGUUGCUUGCCUUUUUACUUCUCUUUUUUUUUUUCCACUGCUUGGGACAGUAUGCAUAUGGAUGGGAAAAUAUUUUAAAAGUUCUCAUGGCCUUUAGCUGUGGUCUUGGAAAUUGACCAAUGUAAUCAUUAGACUGAGAAUUAAAGGUGGAUUUUGACCA